GACGAACGCUGGCGGCGUGCUUAACACAUGCAAGUCGAACGGAAAGGCCCUGCUUUUGUGGGGUGCUCGAGUGGCGAACGGGUGAGUAACACGUGAGUAACCUGCCCUUGACUUUGGGAUAACUUCAGGAAACUGGGGCUAAUACCGGAUAGGAGCUCCUGCUGCAUGGUGGGGGUUGGAAAGUUUCGGCGGUUGGGGAUGGACUCGCGGCUUAUCAGCUUGUUGGUGGGGUAGUGGCUUACCAAGGCUUUGACGGGUAGCCGGCCUGAGAGGGUGACCGGCCACAUUGGGACUGAGAUACGGCCCAGACUCCUACGGGAGGCAGCAGUGGGGAAUAUUGCACAAUGGGCGGAAGCCUGGUGCAGCAACGCCGCGUGCGGGAUGACGGCCUUCGGGUUGUAAACCGCUUUCGCCUGUGACGAAGCGUGAGUGACGGUAAUGGGUAAUGAAGCACCGGCUAACUACGUG
RNAcentral lists this ribosomal RNA (468 nucleotides) under uncultured bacterium. RNAcentral describes it as "partial 16S ribosomal RNA". It matches the Rfam family "Bacterial small subunit ribosomal RNA", at positions 28 to 507 of the family's 1533-position model. The record is from RNAcentral.